RNAcentral lists this ribosomal RNA (433 nucleotides) under uncultured bacterium. RNAcentral describes it as "partial 16S ribosomal RNA". It matches the Rfam family "Bacterial small subunit ribosomal RNA", at positions 29 to 507 of the family's 1533-position model. The record is from RNAcentral.
AACGAACGCUGGCGGCAUGCCUAACACAUGCAAGUCGAACGAGACCUUCGGGUCUAGUGGCGCACGGGUGCGUAACGCGUGGGAACCUGCCCUUGGGUUCGGAAUAACUCCCCGAAAGGGGUGCUAAUACCGGAUAAUGUCUUCGGACCAAAGAUUUAUCGCCUUUGGAUGGGCCCGCGUUGGAUUAGCUAGUUGGUAGGGUAAAAGCCUACCAAGGCGACGAUCCAUAGCUGGUCUGAGAGGAUGAUCAGCCACACUGGGACUGAGACACGGCCCAGAAUCCUACGGGAGGCAGCAGUGGGGAAUAUUGGACAAUGGGCGAAAGCCUGAUCCAGCAAUGCCGCGUGAGUGAUGAAGGCCUUAGGGUUGUAAAGCUCUUUUAACCGGGAUGAUAAUGACAGUACCGGGAGAAUAAGCUCCGGCUAACUCCGUG